CGUGGAGAGGAGAUCGUGGAGACAGUGUACUCAGCAGGACAGCAACGUCCUCUGGGUGGCUGCUGCGUCAGGGCAGGCCAGGCUCCUCAAGGUGCUUGCCGCACAGGAGAAAGCGAAGGCAUUCUGGUUUCCAUGGUAACUGUAACUGUGGCUCUUACUUGGUUUGGUGCAGGUUUUCUGAGUGUUUAAGAAAUAAUUGCAGGAGGAAGGUGCUGCGGCAGGGCUGGAGGUCGUGCGUGGGCAGACGGGGCAAGAGUUACUCCUGUUUGGGUGGCUGGUGAGAACUGGCUGGGAGAGUUGGUCUACCUGAGGAACUAACUGCAGGACUGGAUCUGCAGAUGUAACUUGCUUCUCCUUGCCUUCUGCUAUGAUUGUGGGGCCUCUCCAGCUACAUGGAACUGGUUACUCUGUCAUGAGUUACUGUAAUGGCCUGAGGUGUUUGGCCUCUAGCCAGGAGGUGGCACUUGCAAGAGAGCACCAACUGCAGUAAUAGAAGGGGGAUAUAAGCUUGUGCUAAGUUGGCCAGGAUAUAGAAAUAGGACAGACAAACAGAGUGGGACGAGAAAAUUCCUUCAAGAAUCACAGUUGUUGUGGAUCUCAAGGUGAUGCAGAUUCUGGCACAGAAAGGGAAGCACCAGCCCUGUUCUCUCCAUUCCACAUGGCAGUUCCUUCCUCUCUCAGGGAUGACUGCAGUCUUCUGCCAGGCCUGGGGUUUUCUACUUCUAGCCUGGGAACUAGGAGUAAUAAGCACGACAGAGCGAUCUGCACUUGCGUCGAAGAGCUGCAUUCCGUUCCAGUGGCUUUGGACUAGAAAAUCUCCUUCCCUGUUCAUUCAGCAAGAUGAGGCAAGAGUUGUCCUGGUCAUCCAACAACAUAGGGCAUAAAGGGUCUUCCCAUGUCAUCAUCUGCUGUUAUCUGGUACACUUUCCUCUCAACCUCCGUUCCUGUAGGUACACAUGCAUGACUGGACCUCAUCCCUUCUACCCACAGAACUCAACAGUCGUCUAUUUGAGAACCAGCAGGAGGUCAUAUUCUAUAUGUCCACAUAUGUAUCUGGGGAGACUGGCUGGCUGCAAGGCUUUGUAACCACCUUCCAGGCAGAUGACAAGAUGGAACCUUCUCAACAUACACCUCAGUUAAAAGUCAAGUCAAUAAAAGCCUGGCUGCAUGAAAGAGGAUGAUACAUAAAGACUGGCUGUAUACCUUUGUUUGAUCUGAGUAAGAAAUGCGUGCAUUCAAUGAGGCCACUGAGUUUAUGAUCAAACCUCCUCGUAAAGAAUAGAGCACAGAGAAACCCAUAUUCUUACCGUGUGACAAAUGAGACUGCGAACGUGGACCCUUCUUUAAAACUCCAGCUAAUUCAGGUUGCAGAAUGAAGUGUGCCAUGUCAUAAUUAAUCCCUCAUGUAUUGCAAGCAAUUUAAUGUCAAAAUAAUCAACAGGAGCGUUUUUUACCCUUUUGUGAGUACAUAAUAAAUACUGUCAUUUAGCUGCAGCAAACAUCGGGUUUCUUUCCUGGUCUUUGAAUAACACUCCUCGUGAGGUAAAUACCAGAUCUCCUUCUCCAUCUCCCCACACCCCCAAGCCCUACAAACC
RNAcentral lists this long non-coding RNA (1595 nucleotides) under Homo sapiens (human). Its description in RNAcentral is "HSALNT0253232". Lineage: Eukaryota; Metazoa; Chordata; Mammalia; Primates; Hominidae. The record is from RNAcentral.